UGGCUCUGGCAUCGAUGAAGAACGCAGCGAAAUGCGAUAAGUAUUGUGAAUUGCAGAAUCCAGUGAAUCAUCGAAUCUUUGAACGCACAUUGCGCCCGCCGGCAAUCCGGCGGGCAUGCCUGUUCGAGCGUCAUUUCGACCCUCAGUUCCCCGGAACUGGUGUUGGGGCGUCCGCUUCACCGCGGAGGCCCUCAAAUCCAUAGGCGGUCCCUCCGGGCCCCGAGCGUAGUAAUUUAUUGUUCGUUCGGUGGUUCCGGCGGCGGCUUGCCCCUAAACACCCCACAUCAAGGUUGACCUCGGAUCAGGUAGGAAUACCCGCUGA
RNAcentral lists this unclassified non-coding RNA (322 nucleotides) under uncultured fungus. RNAcentral describes it as "partial contains 5.8S ribosomal RNA and internal transcribed spacer 2". The stretch from base 1 to 133 matches the Rfam family "5.8S ribosomal RNA", at positions 22 to 154 of the family's 154-position model. Lineage: Eukaryota; Fungi. The record is from RNAcentral.